GAUGAAGAACGUAGCGAAAUGCGAUAAGUAAUGUGAAUUGCAGAAUUCAGUGAAUCAUCGAAUCUUUGAACGCACAUUGCGCCCGCCAGUAUUCUGGCGGGCAUGCCUGUUCGAGCGUCAUUUCAACCAUCAAGCCCCAGGCUUGUGUUGGGGACCUGCGGCUGCCGCAGGCCCUGAAAACCAGUGGCGGGCUCGCUGUCACACCGGGCGUAGUAGAUUUUAUCUCGCUCAGGGCGUGCUGCGGGUUCCGGUCGUUAAAAAGCCUUUUUUACCCAAGGUUGACCUCGGAUCAGGUAGGAAGACCCGCUGAACUUAAGCAUAUCAAUAGGCGGAGGA
Molecule: unclassified non-coding RNA, 336 nt
Filed under: soil metagenome
Description: partial contains 5.8S ribosomal RNA, internal transcribed spacer 2, and large subunit ribosomal RNA
Rfam family: 5.8S ribosomal RNA (bases 1-120)
Source: RNAcentral